CGGGAACAAGCAGGUCUAGCUGCCAAUGAGAGUCGAGGGUGGGAGGUGGCUAAGAUGGCCCCUGGGGAGACGCGAGGAAGACUUAGACCGGCGUUUUGGGAGCUAUGCGUGACGUAAUGAAGGACCGGCUUGUCUGGAGAUAAAAAAAUUCUACUGGAAUUCACAAGGGAAACUCACCUUAAUGUACAACACCUACAUCAAGAAGAACCGGUUUGUAUAGCUGUGGACAGCUACAAGUGGUGUCGAGAGCAGGGACCUGAACACGAAGGGGUCAAUGGAGGACAACACUGUCUUGUUGGAGUUCCACAGAAAACAAAAGAAAAAAGAUGGUAUCCGGCACAGCAGAACACAGAACCAAUGAUUCUGCAUUAAUAAGGAGUCUGAAAAACACUUUAACUUAAAAACAUUUUGUCUGGGAAGCAGAAAAAUUAAGGAAUGACAUUCUAGUUUUAGCUGAGGAGGAACUCAAUUGAAGAACACAUGUCCCUCAUGGUACAUUGAAAAUUGCUCUUUUGAAAGAAGAUAUGAGUCAUAGAUUAACAGGCUGCUGUUUAUGUUUCUAACUGAUAAUUUUGCCCCUAUCUCUUGUAACACCACAUUCUGUAUGCGAAUUUUUCAGUCUACUGAGGAAGGAGUCAAGUGAAUAUUUUCUUUUCAGUCUGAGAGAAUCAAAGAAAUGAUGUCUGCUGGAUAAAUAAGGUAAAUAUUCCAAGAAAGAAAAAGUGAAUGUUAACAUCAUCAUUUUGGGAAAAGAGG
This is a long non-coding RNA of Mastomys coucha (southern multimammate mouse), 756 nucleotides long. RefSeq lists it as uncharacterized. NCBI's taxonomy places the organism in Eukaryota, Metazoa, Chordata, Mammalia, Rodentia, Muridae. The record is from RefSeq and is a predicted model, not a curated record. The transcript has 7 exons.